CGGCAGGCAUUAACACAUGCAAGUCGAGCGGAUGAAGGUAGCUUGCUACUGGAUUCAGCGGCGGACGGGUGAGUCAUGCUUAGGAAUCUGCCUAUUAGUGGGGGACAACGUUCCGAAAGGGGCGCUAAUACCGCAUACGUCCUACGGGAGAAAGCAGGGGACCUUCGGGCCUUGCGCUAAUAGAUGAGCCUAAGUCGGAUUAGCUAGUUGGUAGGGUAAAGGCCUACCAAGGCGACGAUCUGUAGCGGGUCUGAGAGGAUGAUCCGCCACACUGGGACUGAGACACGGCCCAGACUCCUACGGGAGGCAGCAGUGGGGAAUAUUGGACAAUGGGGGGAACCUGAUCCAGCCAUGCCGCGUGUGUUAAGAAGGCCUUUUGGUCUGUAAAGCACUUUAAGCGAGGAGGAGGCUACCUAGAUUAAUACUUUAGGAUAGUGGACGUUACUCGCAGAAUAAGCACCGGCUAACUCUGUGCCAGCAGCCGCGGUAAUACAGAGGGUGCGAGCGUUAAUCGGAUUUACUGGGCGUAAAGCGUGCGUUGGCGGCCAAUUAAGUCAAAUGUGAAAUCCCCGAGCUUUACUUGGGAAUUGCAUUCGAUACUGGUUGGCUAGAGUAUGGGAGAGGAUGGUAGAAUUCCAGGUGUAGCGGUGAAAUGCGUAGAGAUCUGGAGGAUACCGAUGGCGAAGCAGCCAUCUGGCCUAAUACUGACGCUGAGGUACGAAAGCAUGGGGAGCAAACAGGAUUAGAU
This 748-nucleotide ribosomal RNA is filed under the name Acinetobacter radioresistens. RNAcentral describes it as "bacterial SSU rRNA". It matches the Rfam family "Bacterial small subunit ribosomal RNA", at positions 40 to 783 of the family's 1533-position model. The record is from RNAcentral. Lineage: Bacteria; Pseudomonadati; Pseudomonadota; Gammaproteobacteria; Moraxellales; Moraxellaceae.